GACGAACGCUGGCGGCGUGCCUAAUACAUGCAAGUUGAGCGCUGAAGGUUGGGACUUGUACCGACUGGAUGAGCAGCGAACGGGUGAGUAACGCGUGGGUAAUCUGCCUUUGAGCGGGGGACAACAUUUGGAAACGAAUGCUAAUACCGCAUAAAAACUUUAAACACAAGUUUUAAGUUUGAAAGAUGCAAUUGCAUCACUCAAAGAUGAUCCCGCGUUGUAUUAGCUAGUUGGUGAGGUAAAGGCUCACCAAGGCGAUGAUACAUAGCCGACCUGAGAGGGUGAUCGGCCACAUUGGGACUGAGACACGGCUCAAACUCCUACGGGAGGCAGCAGUACGGAAUCUUCGGCAAUGGACGAAAGUCUGACCGAGCAACGCCGCGUGAGUGAAGAAGGGUUUCGGAUCGUAAAACUCUGUUGGUAGAGAAGAACGUUGGUGGGAGUGGAAAGCUCAUCAAGUGACGGUAACUACCCAGAAAGGGACGGCUAACUACGUG
This 497-nucleotide ribosomal RNA is filed under the name uncultured bacterium. Its description in RNAcentral is "partial 16S ribosomal RNA". It matches the Rfam family "Bacterial small subunit ribosomal RNA", at positions 28 to 507 of the family's 1533-position model. The record is from RNAcentral.